Molecule: ribosomal RNA, 454 nt
Filed under: uncultured bacterium
Lineage: Bacteria
Description: partial 16S ribosomal RNA
Rfam family: Bacterial small subunit ribosomal RNA
Source: RNAcentral
GAUGAACGCUGACAGAAUGCUUAACACAUGCAAGUCAACUUGAACUUCGGUUUGGGUGGCGGACGGGUGAGUAACGCGUAAAGAACUUGCCUCACAGCUAGGGACAACAUUUGGAAACGAAUGCUAAUACCUGAUAUUAUGAUUAUAUGGCAUCGUAUAAUUAUGAAAGCUAUAUGCGCUGUGAGAGAGCUUUGCGUCCCAUUAGCUAGUUGGAGAGGUAACAGCUCACCAAGGCGAUGAUGGGUAGCCGGCCUGAGAGGGUGAUCGGCCACAAGGGGACUGAGACACGGCCCUUACUCUUACGGGAGGCAGAAGUGGGGAAUAUUGGACAAUGGACCGAGAGUCUGGUCCAGCAAUUCUGUGUGCACGAUGAAGUUUUUCGGAAUGUAAAGUGCCUUCAGUUGGGAAGAAAAAAAUGACGGUACCAACAGAAGAAGUGACGGCUAAAUACGUG